AGAGUUUGAUCCUGGCUCAGGUUGAAUGCUGGCGGUGCGCCUAAUACAUGCAAGUCGAACGAGAACUUCGUUGAAUUUAUUCAAUAAAGGGAAAGUGGCGGACGAGCGAGUAACACGUACGAAUCUACCCCGAACUCAGGGAUAACUCACUUAAAGGUGGGCUAAUACCGGAUAGUCAGGCAACUGUAAAGCUAUUGCGGUUCGGGAGGAGCGUGCGGUCUAUCAGCUAGUUGGUAAGGUAAAGGCUUACCAAGGCGAUGACGGAUAGCUGGUGUGAGAGCAUGACCAGCCGCGAUGGGACUGAGACACGGCCCAUACUCCUACGGGAGGCAGCAGUAAGGAAUCUCCGCAAUGGACGAAAGUCUGACGGAGCGACACCGCGUGAAGGAUGAAGCAUCUAGGUGUGUAAACUUCUUUUAUGAGGGAAGAAAAUCUGACGGUACCUCAUGAAUAAGGACCGGCUAAUUACGUGCCAGCGGCCGCGGUAAUACGUAAGGUCCAAGCAUUAACCGGAAUUACUGGGCGUAAAGCGUCCGCAGGUUGUUUAGAAAGUCUGUUAUUAAAUACCGGUGCUCAACAUCGGUGCUGUAAUGGAAACUUCUAAACUUGAGGAUGGGAGAGGAGUGUGGAAUUGUGCAAGUAGGGGUAAAAUCCGUAGAUAUGCACAGGAACACCAAAAGCGAAGGCAACACUCUGGCCCAUUCCUGACACUCAGGGACGAAAGCGUGGGGAGCGAAACGGAUUAGAUACCCGUGUAGUCCACGCCGUAAACGAUGCGUGCUCGGUGUAGGGAUCCUUGACUUGAUCUCUGUGCCCAAGGUAACCCGUUAAGCACGCCGCCUGUGUAGUACGAGCGCAAGCUUAAAACACAAAGGAAUAGACGGGGGCCCACACAAGCGGUGGAACGUGGGGUUUAAUUCGUCAAUAAGCGAGUAACCUCACCCAGACUUGACAUCCCUAUUAAACUUUCUAGAAAUAGAUAGGUCGGCUCGGCCGGAUAGGUGACAGGCGUUGCAUGGUUGUCGUCAGCUCGUGCCUUGAGGUGUUCGGUUAAGUCCGUGAACGAGCGCAACCCUCGUCGUAUGUUGUAUUUUCAUACGAGACUGCCCGUUAAACGCGGGAGGAAGGCGAGGAUGACGUCAAAUCAGCAUGACCCUUAUGUCUGGGGCUACACCCGCGUUACAAUGGCAAGCACAAACUGAAGCGAAGCAGCAAUGUGGAGCAAAUCGGAAAAAACUUGUCUUAGUUCGGAUUGAGGUCUGCAACUCGACCUCAUGAAGUUGGAAUCGCUAGUAAACGUAUAUCAGUCACGGUACGUUGAAUAUGUUCCUGGGCCUUGUACUCACCGCCCGUCAAGGCAUGGAAGCCGGAGGUGCCCGAAGUCUGCCAAUUAAUGGUGGCCUAAGGUAAAAUCGGUAACUGGGCUUAAGUCGUAACAAGGUA
This 1443-nucleotide ribosomal RNA is filed under the name metagenome. RNAcentral describes it as "bacterial SSU rRNA". It matches the Rfam family "Bacterial small subunit ribosomal RNA". The record is from RNAcentral.